ACCUGGGUAGCUAAAUUGGUUAAGCAUCUGACUUUGGCUCAGGUCAUGAUCUUGCGGUUCGUGAGUUCAAGACCCACAUAGGGUU
This 85-nucleotide transfer RNA is filed under the name Felis catus (domestic cat). It matches the Rfam family "tRNA". Rfam says of the family: Transfer RNA (tRNA) molecules are approximately 80 nucleotides in length. Their secondary structure includes four short double-helical elements and three loops (D, anti-codon, and T loops). Lineage: Eukaryota; Metazoa; Chordata; Mammalia; Carnivora; Felidae. The record is from Rfam by way of RNAcentral. RNAcentral also lists the same sequence under 1 other name.